GAUGAACGCUGGCGGCGUGCUUAACACAUGCAAGUCGAACGGGAAACCUUUUAUUGAAGCUUCGGCAGAUUUAGCUGGUUUCUAGUGGCGGACGGGUGAGUAACGCGUGGGUAACCUGCCUUAUACAGGGGGAUAACAGUCAGAAAUGACUGCUAAUACCGCAUAAGCGCACAGAGCUGCAUGGCUCGGUGCGAAAAACUCCGGUGGUAUAAGAUGGACCCGCGUUGGAUUAGCUAGUUGGUGAGGUAACGGCCCACCAAGGCGACGAUCCAUAGCCGGCCUGAGAGGGUGAACGGCCACAUUGGGACUGAGACACGGCCCAGACUCCUACGGGAGGCAGCAGUGGGGAAUAUUGCACAAUGGGGGAAACCCUGAUGCAGCGACGCCGCGUGAAGGAAGAAGUAUCUCGGUAUGUAAACUUCUAUCAGCAGGGAAGAAAAUGACGGU
This 447-nucleotide ribosomal RNA is filed under the name uncultured bacterium. Its description in RNAcentral is "bacterial SSU rRNA". It matches the Rfam family "Bacterial small subunit ribosomal RNA", at positions 28 to 458 of the family's 1533-position model. The record is from RNAcentral.